This is a non-coding RNA of Taeniopygia guttata (zebra finch), 900 nucleotides long. Lineage: Eukaryota; Metazoa; Chordata; Aves; Passeriformes; Estrildidae. The record is from RefSeq and is a predicted model, not a curated record.
GGGGCUUUAAUCCAAGAUUCCCAUUAUGAAGAUGGUGCAAUCAAUCCAUCUGACUUCUUAAUACCUCUGUGUGGGUUUUUUUCCCCCCCUGUGACUAGGAGUGACUCACUGCAGCUUCCCUGAAUCGCUCUGGAGAAGCAGCUUGCUUAUCUGUGAUACUUGUCCUGCUUCUGUUCCCCUCAGAGGGUGAGUGAUGGGCCAGUACCUGCCUAGCUUGUCUUAAGUCUGGUUGUAGGGACAGGCAGUGGUGUGGAGCUGCUGUGCCCUCCCAGGAGAUUGGCCUGGGCCAGCCUUGGCACUGAGGAGCUGUUGGAAGAGAUGCUGCAGUUGUGGUUGUUCUCUUGGUGCUCAGAGAGCCAAAAGUUUUACUGGGAUUUUUUUUUUUUUACUGUGUUCUCCUUUGCUCCUGUGAAUGCUCUCCUUUGGUAAGCAGGAAUGUUCAGAAAAAACAUCUGGAGCUGCUGGGUGAGAAGAAAACCAUAUCAGCAGUUGAUCUGAAUAGGGAUAACAGUUCUUGAUGGGAGAUCAAGGCUAUGGGUCGCUAAAUCCCACCAGAGUCUGGCCCCUUAUACAUUGCUGUGAUGUCACAUGGAUACAGGCUCAAAGGAUAUGCCAGGGGAGAAAUCUUCCUGCCUGAGGGGAAAUCCUGAAAGGGUUUGUUUGUGACAUCCCUCUCUCGUGUUUGCAUGUGGAUGAUGAAGAUGCUGCCCUGCUCAUCAGGAAAUGAGUAGGCUGCCUGCCUCCAGCCUCAGAGGAGCUGCAUUGAGGCUGGUGGAAUCACUAUGGCUCAGCACCAGCCCUGAACCAGUAUUUGCCCCAGCACUGCCACUUGUUCUGUGGUUUUGCAUGUUUUAUCUUUCACCUGUGUCUCAGUGCUGUGCUCCACUGAGGAGCUUAGGA